Pan troglodytes (chimpanzee) is the source of this 4717-nucleotide RNA transcript. It is a transcript of the gene named ATPase H+ transporting accessory protein 1 like, with no coding region annotated. The record is from RefSeq and is a predicted model, not a curated record. The transcript has 9 exons. NCBI's taxonomy places the organism in Eukaryota, Metazoa, Chordata, Mammalia, Primates, Hominidae.
AUAAUUAAAAACCUAAAUAUUUGUUUCACUCUAUACUCUCAGCAUUAUCAGACCCCUCCCUUCCUCCCCUCACCAUGGAAUACAUUCUGAGAAAGCUGCCCUGUUAUUGGUUAAAUAUGCUGUCAGUCACAUGGCAUGAAAAGUACUGCCUCUGCUCUGUUUGCAUUUAUGAAUUAACAGAUGUGCUUGCUUUGAAGAAACUGAUUCUUUUCUUGAUGGGAAAAAAAAUCUUGUUUAGUUUUUCACUGAUUUUUUUAGGUAUAGGACUUUCACUAACCUUGGACCAUAUAUUUGCCAGGAAGAAUGUAAGUUCUCCAACAUCUUCAAAUAAAGAAGUGGUUAUGAGGAAUGAUCAGAAUAAUGGAGAUAUGAAACCAUUCCAGAAUUUCACAACAAUACCAAUCACACAGGCUCUCAACUACAAUCUGAGCAAAGAAGGGCAUUUAGAAAAAGAACCUUGGAAUGCAUUCAGCCAUCAUGGCCCAGUUAAUGUCUCCAUCAAUGGAAUUCCUUGCAUUCUCUUCUGGGCCAAAAGAAUAAUGAUUAAAUUUAAGAAUCAAACCUGGCUGGACCUUACAGACGAGCCAUUUGGUCAGAAGGUAACUGUGGACCCUGACAACUCAAAUUGCAGUGAAGAAAGUGCUAGGUUGUCUUUGAAGCUUGGUGAUGCUGGAAACCCCAGAAGUCUUGCUAUAAGAUUCAUCCUUACCAAUUACAACAAGUUGUCCAUCCAGAGUUGGUUUAGUUUGCGCCGAGUCGAGAUCAUUUCCAACAAUUCAAUCCAAGCAGUCUUUAACCCAACUGGCGUAUAUGCUCCCUCUGGUUACUCCUACCGCUGCCAACGCGUGGGCAGCCUGCAGCAGGACCAGGCCCUCUUGCUGCCCAGCGACACGGAUGAUGGGUCGAGCCUGUGGGAGGUCACUUUUAUUGAUUUCCAGGCACUUGGACUAGUACCCUGCAUGAAAGUUCAUUUCAAGGCAAACAGAACAAUAUUCUUGGAAUGGGAGGAAGAAUCUUCGAGUUUGAACAGAGUUGGGGUCUCCCAAAGUUGCCAAUGCUGGUCUCCAACUCCUGGCUUCAGGUGAUCCUCCCACGUCAGCCUCCCAAAGGGUUGGGAUUACAGGCAUGAGCCACCAUGCCCAGCCCAGAUGAUUCUUAUAAGAUGAGACAUGGGACUUGAAUGCUGCUAUUGGUGCACAUUUCUGCAGACGUGUCUCUGGCUCUCAGGAUGCAGAAUGUUGGUAGGUCCAGUGUGGGGGAUGCUAAAGGCGGUGUCAUGUGCUCUGUGGAUUUUUGUGUGAGUAUAAUGGUCCCAUUUGAAGUUUUCCUGUUUGUUGCAGUAAAACCUCUCUUCAGUGUCUGUUACCUUUCUCUAUAUUCUUGGUGAAGGAGAGAGAUAGUAAUAAGGGGCCUGAAUGAGGUAAGAAGAGCAGAUGCUGUUCUCUGCUUCCUCCCUGCCACCAACAUUCCUUCUGCCCUGUUUUUCCUGGCCAUCUGUGCUCUGGGCAGUCCAAGCCUGUGAACCAGCCACACCCAGGAUCUGUGGUGGAGCUCAGUCCCAGAUUGUUCUGGAAGAGUCGCCCAGAGGAGCCGUGUGGUCUCCCAUUCAGCAACAGAGUACGGGAUGGUCUCUCUGAAGGGCAGAGGGUCUGAGCACUGUCCCCUUCAUGGCAUCUAAGGCUGAAAUGCUGAAUGAUGCAAUGAGAGGAUUCCAGGGGAGAAAAGGAGCUGUACAUGGGCUUGAUUCUUCCCUCCCCAGCUGGUGGACACAGCACCGAGGUGGAGCUGGAGGGCCCUCCACUGACCCACAUGCACUCCACUUUGCAGCUGUGCCCUGGGACACACUUAUAAUCUCAAAGUGUUAUGAAUUCCAACCACUGGAUUCUACCCUACUUCUGACAUAAUCUUCUUGGGUUGAUAGUAGCCUGUCUCAUUACCGAAUAUUUCUUCUUAUGGGUAGCCCUGGUUAGUCAUUUUCUUUGAACUUUUUGUUUAAAGAAGACCUGUAGAUAUGAGCUUUUUGUCAGAGAUGAUCUCUCCAGGCCUGAGUCUAAACUGUUAACCCUCUCUCAGAGAAUGAGUGCUGGCUCUUGAAUUUCAGGCGCUUUGACAUUUACUGAGGGAAAGAAGGAGAAUGGAAGCAGUGAGCAUAAAGCGCUGACCUGAGUGGAAUGGCAGGUCGACUUGCCGGAGCCCCGAGAUGAUUACACUCUCCCAGCUCUAGGGCAAGCUGUCCAAUUUCCCAAAAACCAAUUUGACAAUUGUCGAGUGACCAAUUUGCUGAAUUAGAAGAAUUUACUAAUUUACCAAAUUGCUUAUUUCUUUUAUGCAUUUCUAAAGACUUGAGCAAUUGGCAUGGGCUGGGUUGGCAGGGCCUGAAAGGGUUUGGAGCAAUGAGUCAGAAGCAAUGGUCUCUGGGAACAACCCUGUAGGUGGCGCCACUCUCCGGACAGAGAGGGGCAGUGGGUGGAUGGUGGAGAGUUAGGGGAGGCUUCGCUGCAGAGAUCCGAGCCUUGCUGACUCUUCAGUUCUUGUUUUUAAAGCAAUCCUUAUUUUUGACCAUCUUUUUUUCUUAAAAGUCAGUCAGCUCACCACUUUUGGAUUCUUCCUUGGCUUCCUGGCCGUACAUACUUCCCAUCCUCACGCUGCCUCACUUGUUUGGCUCUUCAUCUCUCUCCUUCUCCUCCUUCACCCUGGAGCAACACCGGAGGCCUCUCAUGUCCUCCCGUGGAGAAGGGGGAGAACAGCACAGCCCUUGCCUUACUAUUUUGUUCUUACGACCCUCAGACCUUCAGGGGCUCACUUUCUCCCACAGCACUGUAGCCAAAGAAAGGUUUCUUUCCUAAGAGGGAUUAUGGUGUCAGCUCUUCAAAUACCAUUAAAUUUUUAUUUUCUACACAUAAACACAUUCUUAUGGUUUUGGGAAAUGGAAGCAGUAUAAAACCAAAAUUUUUUGCAUACUCAGUGUGAUAGCCUUCAUAUAUUAGGCAUUCAAUGAAUAUUUUAGUGAUUAACAAAUGGGUGGUUUUUAUAAUGAACCUCACCCUGUUAUAACCAAAUACUCGUGUCAGAGAAACUAGCUUGCUUUUAUAUCAAGAUUAUGGCCCUGGAUUUUGAUAACGCCACAGAAAUAUUGUCAAACGUUGUUCACUCGGCUCUGCUCUUUCCAAGUUGAGGUGAGCUAAGGGAGCCAACCAAAGUAAGGUUGGUUUCCUGCUCCUUUCCCCCCCCCACUUAACCCUUUGCUUAAAAAGCUCUCCGAGGCCAUAAACUACUAGGACACAACUCCCUAUUAAUUAGCCAUUUAUAACUAUGUUUCUGUUGAUUUUUUGGACCAAUAAUUAAUUUGAUAGGGUUAUAGGAAGUCCUAUGCUCCUGUAACUGAGAAGACACUGUCUAAGUGUGGGUCCAGAUUGAGGAGGUCCUUUGGGGUCUGUUGCUUCUAUCAUUGGCCUGACCCACGCUGACUCUCAAAUUCAGACCUCUCAGAAAAAGGAAGAAAGGCUUCAUCCGCAGUGGGCAUUAAAAAAAACCAUAAACAUCUAUUCAUGGUCUUGGAAUUGAAUCUUAAGGCAAAGCAGGAUCUCAGGUAAGAUUGACAGAUGAUGAACUGGCAGCCCACACCCCAUUCCUGUUGAUAUGUUCUACCUCUUUCUAUUACUGGGGUGUGAUUACUUCAAAGCCAGGAAGAGCUGCAAUCUAAUUUUAGAAGAAUGCCCUUCUUGUACACAUUGGUGAGUAUAUAUCUUAAUAUAUGAUGUAUAUAUCUAUAUAAUUUUAGUAGUUGUAUAAUAAAAAUUGGGAUAGGUAAACAAAAGAGAGCAGCUGAAAAGUCUACCUAUAAAGGCUUCAGGUUAACAUUGUUACUUAUAUUGCUUCUACCACAAAUCUGUGGGGAUGAUUUUUAUUUGUUGGGAAGGGUUGUCUCUGAAUUUCCUGUAAAGUUUGGCAUUUUAAAUCUUUUUUUUGACUCUUCUCCUGUUAAAUAUAUAUCUUGGAAACUUGGCUGUUUCUGGUUCCUGAGCUUCACAGUGAACCAACAAACCAGCAGUAACUGUAAUCCACCCUUAAAAUUUAAUCCCUUGGGACAGUCCAUCUCAAUGGCAGAAUAAGAAACACUCUCCUGGCAGAAUAAGGGUGAAGAUAAGCCUAUUCCUGUACUUAUCUGGGAGCACAUGUAGGUAUGAGUAAUAAGACCAAGAGCUGCCAAGGGUGAAGGAAGAUGUAGGAGCCCAUGGAUUGCAUGAGGGAAAUAUGGAUCCUGUGAAGGGCAAGUUGGUUUCUUUGUGUGGACGACCCAGAUAAAGCAAUGAAAAUGGAUAAUAAGGACAGUAAGGACAAGUGCCUUCCAAGGCAUUAAGGCAAAUGAGAUUGUAGCAUGGAUACAGAAGAGAAAGGAGAAAGAGAAAAAGUAGAUGGAAAAGUAAAUGACUCAAACCUUCCAUUACUGAAAGUUCCAAAUGUUUCUUUAAUGGCAAUCACCAGAUUGUAGGCCUUCAUUUUUCACCGGUCAGCAUUCCCUCAUCUUCUUUCUGUUCAUAACAAAAGUGAGUUCCUCUUCUGACCACUAGAGGUCUCUAGAGAAUCACGGAUCAACAUCUGAAGCCUCAUACCCUCUUGCUAUCAGCCACUCUAGGAGGUGGAAAUGUUUAUUUUUCCAACAUGAAUAGUCAGUCACAUAGUCACAAGAGAUCCGAGGCCUGAGUCUUAAAUUUCU